UAACGGUCCUAAGGUAGCGAAAUUCCUUGUCGGGUAAGUUCCGACCUGCACGAAUGGCGUAAUGAUGGCCAGGCUGUCUCCACCCGAGACUCAGUGAAAUUGAACUCGCUGUGAAGAUGCAGUGUACCCGCGGCAAGACGGAAAGACCCCGUGAACCUUUACUAUAGCUUGACACUGAACAUUGAGCCUUGAUGUGUAGGAUAGGUGGGAGGCUUUGAAGUGUGGACGCCAGUCUGCAUGGAGCCGACCUUGAAAUACCACCCUUUAAUGUUUGAUGUUCUAACGUGGGCCCCUUACCGGGGUUGCGGACAGUGUCUGGUGGGUAGUUUGACUGGGGCGGUCUCCUCCUAAAGAGUAACGGAGGAGCACGAAGGUUGGCUAAUCCUGGUCGGACAUCAGGAGGUUAGUGCAAUGGCAUAAGCCAGCUUGACUGCGAGCGUGACGGCGCGAGCAGGUGCGAAAGCAGGUCAUAGUGAUCCGGUGGUUCUGAAUGGAAGGGCCAUCGCUCAACGGAUAAAAGGUACUCCGGGGAUAACAGGCUGAUACCGCCCAAGAGUUCAUAUCGACGGCGGUGUUUGGCACCUCGAUGUCGGCUCAUCACAUCCUGGGGCUGAAGUAGGUCCCAAGGGUAUGGCUGUUCGCCAUUUAAAGUGGUACGCGAGCUGGGUUUAGAACGUCGUGAGACAGUUCGGUCCCUAUCUGCCGUGGGCGCUGGAGAACUGAGGGGGGCUGCUCCUAGUACGAGAGGACCGGAGUGGACGCAUCACUGGUGUUCGGGUUGUCAUGCCAAUGGCACUGCCCGGUAGCUAAAUGCGGAAGAGAUAAGUGCUGAAAGCAUCUAAGCACGAAACUUGCCCCGAGAUGAGUUCUCCCUGACUCCUUGAGAGUCCUGAAGGAACGUUGAAGACGACGACGUUGAUAGGCCGGGUGUGUAAGCGCAGCGAUGCGUUGAGCUAACCGGUACUAAUGAACCGUGAGGCUUAACCUU
Molecule: ribosomal RNA, 988 nt
Filed under: Escherichia coli
Lineage: Bacteria; Pseudomonadati; Pseudomonadota; Gammaproteobacteria; Enterobacterales; Enterobacteriaceae
Description: partial 23S ribosomal RNA
Rfam family: Bacterial large subunit ribosomal RNA
Source: RNAcentral